Molecule: ribosomal RNA, 482 nt
Filed under: uncultured bacterium
Lineage: Bacteria
Description: partial 16S ribosomal RNA
Rfam family: Bacterial small subunit ribosomal RNA
Source: RNAcentral
GACGAACGCUGGCGGCGUGCUUAACACAUGCAAGUCGAACGCUGAAGCUCAGCUUUUGUUGGGUGGAUGAGUGGCGAACGGGUGAGUAACACGUGAGUAACCUGCCUCCUUCUUUGGGAUAACGCCCGGAAACGGGUGCUAAUACUGGAUAUUCACUGGUCUUCGCAUGGGGGUUGGUGGAAAGGGUUUUUCUGGUGGGGGAUGGGCUCGCGGCCUAUCAGCUUGUUGGUGGGGUGAUGGCCUACCAAGGCUUUGACGGGUAGCCGGCCUGAGAGGGUGACCGGUCACAUUGGGACUGAGAUACGGCCCAGACUCCUACGGGAGGCAGCAGUGGGGAAUAUUGCACAAUGGGCGCAAGCCUGAUGCAGCGACGCCGCGUGAGGGAUGGAGGCCUUCGGGUUGUGAACCUCUUUCGCUCAUGGUCAAGCCGCAACAAUGGUUGUGGUGAGGGUAGUGGGUAAAGAAGCGCCGGCUAACUACGU